Long non-coding RNA from Vollenhovia emeryi, 267 nucleotides. RefSeq lists it as uncharacterized. Lineage: Eukaryota; Metazoa; Arthropoda; Insecta; Hymenoptera; Formicidae. The transcript has 3 exons. The record is from RefSeq and is a predicted model, not a curated record.
AUAGAAGAACAAAAACCCAGCAGUCUUCAAAUGCUGCAUUAAAUAUUAAUGAUGCUAUCCCCAGUUUUUACGACUGCUCAUAUCUGGGAUUCUCUAUGUAUAUCCAACCCAAGAAUGCAGAGAAAUAUUACGGACAAGAAAAUGAUAAGAAUUGCGGGGUGUACUGACUUUUCCUUUUACAUUUUCUAAAGAUACAUCCAUGUCCUUCAUGAGUACCUAACACCUCGACUUAACAAGUACUAUUAUGGAUACUAACAUGGAUUUCAG